CACGUAGGGGGCAAGCGUUGUCUGGAUUUAUUGGGCGUAAAGAGCUCGUAGGCGGUUCGGUAAGUCGGGUGUGAAACCUCCAGGCUCAACCUGGAGACGCCACCCGAUACUGCUGUGACUAGAGUCCGGUAGGGGAGCGUGGAAUUCCUGGUGUAGCGGUGAAAUGCGCAGAUAUCAGGAGGAACACCAGCGGCGAAGGCGGCGCUCUGGGCCGGAACUGACGCUGAGGAGCGAAAGCGUGGGGAGCAAACAGG
RNAcentral lists this ribosomal RNA (254 nucleotides) under uncultured bacterium. RNAcentral describes it as "partial 16S ribosomal RNA". It matches the Rfam family "Bacterial small subunit ribosomal RNA", at positions 524 to 776 of the family's 1533-position model. The record is from RNAcentral.